RNAcentral lists this transfer RNA (69 nucleotides) under Ictidomys tridecemlineatus (thirteen-lined ground squirrel). Its description in RNAcentral is "Spermophilus tridecemlineatus (thirteen-lined ground squirrel) tRNA". It matches the Rfam family "tRNA". Rfam says of the family: Transfer RNA (tRNA) molecules are approximately 80 nucleotides in length. Their secondary structure includes four short double-helical elements and three loops (D, anti-codon, and T loops). Further hydrogen bonds mediate the characteristic L-shaped molecular structure. tRNAs have two regions of fundamental functional importance: the anti-codon, which is responsible for specific mRNA codon recognition, and the 3' end, to which the tRNAs corresponding amino acid is attached (by aminoacyl-tRNA synthetases). tRNAs cope with the degeneracy of the genetic code in two manners: having more than one tRNA (with a specific anti-codon) for a particular amino acid; and 'wobble' base-pairing, i.e. permitting non-standard base-pairing at the 3rd anti-codon position. The record is from Rfam by way of RNAcentral. Lineage: Eukaryota; Metazoa; Chordata; Mammalia; Rodentia; Sciuridae.
GGGGUUGUGGCUCAGCGGUAGAGCGCUCGCCUAGCACGUGCGAGACGCAAGGUUCGAUCCUCAGCACCA